Long non-coding RNA from Micropterus dolomieu (smallmouth bass), 1362 nucleotides. RefSeq lists it as uncharacterized. The transcript has 3 exons. NCBI's taxonomy places the organism in Eukaryota, Metazoa, Chordata, Actinopteri, Centrarchiformes, Centrarchidae. The record is from RefSeq and is a predicted model, not a curated record.
UUCAUUGAUAAUUUUUGUGUGAUGUUGUUGUCAGCACAUUCAACUAUGUAAAGAAAGUAUUUAAGUAGUAGUUGAGUAUUGAGAUUAUUUCAUUCAUUCAGAUCUAGGAUGUGUUAUUUUAGUGUUCCCUUUAUUUUUUUGAGCAUUGUAUUUUGCCGUUAAAGUCUUAAUUAACAACCAACUUAAAAUAUAUCACAGUGUUUUAUGGUUUAACAGAUUUUGUCUAGUUAGCUUGUCACUGAUUUUAUCUGUCUGCUGUUUGGUGCUGGGCAGGUAAUGUGUGCAGUGGGUUCAUCAGAUUUUUUUUUUUUUUUUUACUGAAAACAGCUGGCUUCUGCUGCUGUUCCUGAUAGUAAAUCACGAGAUAUGCAACAGUUUAAUGUGUGUGGAUAGUAUUAUAUGGGAUACUGGGCUUACUUGUCAUUGUGCUGCUGCAGCCUUCACAUUACUAUGAGCUGAUUGUGAUAACUGAAAGGACCUGGGCCCAGUGUCUUGUAACCUGUUGUCUCAUUUUGCAGGAGGCUGAUGUGGAGGCCAGGUCAGACCUCCCUGCAGGCCGGCUCCCUGGUUUCCCCUUUUGUUUGGUUUUCUUUGGUUGGACUAUUGCUUUGUGUUGGUUUGUCAGUACAUGUUUGACCGCAAGGGUCGCUUUCUGGAUGUCCAUGUGGGCUUCCUUGACUGUGCACGAUGCCAGGUUCCCAGGUACAACCUCUUCCAUGUGCACCAGCCUCCAGGAUAGAAGGCUUGUGGGAAAUGCACACCAUUCCUGUGUGAAGCAUGCCAAGUGCCCCUCUGUGUUAUUCUGGACAGAGACUGUCACAAGUAUUUUCACAGCUAGGGUGGCCUGUGUAUAUGUAGUGGUGCCUUUCUGUUUAGUUCUGAUGAUGUACAUUUUUUUUUAUUUACACAAGACAUGGUCUUUGUUUUUUUUCACCAUUUAAUUGUUUAGUCAACAUUGCUCUCAAAAGCAAUAUGUUAUCUUUUUGAUUAUACAAAUUUAAAGGCACUCUAUUCAUGUGUAAGGCACCCUCACCUGUCAAGUUUUAUCACAGUCUUUUGCAUGUUCAGUUCCUAUAAUGUACAGUUUUAACCCCUUAAUUGUAGAGUAUAGUGUAUAAUUGAAUAUAUAGAGUAUUGUAAUUGAAUAUUUGAUAAGGUCUUCUGUUUUUUACCACUUAAUUGUGUAAUCAACAUUGCUCUCAAAAGAAAUGUAUCUGUUUCACUACACAGCUAAAAAGGCGUUAAUUGCACUGUUUAUAAAAAUGAAUGUAUCUUACAAACUAAUUUAUGUACAUAGUUCAGUGUUUUAUGGAGGUUUUUUACACUGACAAGUUUGAGGUUGGCAUUUGUUAUAUUUAUGUA